RNAcentral lists this ribosomal RNA (497 nucleotides) under uncultured bacterium. RNAcentral's name for it is "partial 16S ribosomal RNA". It matches the Rfam family "Bacterial small subunit ribosomal RNA", at positions 28 to 507 of the family's 1533-position model. The record is from RNAcentral.
GAUGAACGCUGGCGGCGUGCCUAAUACAUGCAAGUCGAGCGAACAGACGAGGAGCUUGCUCCUCUGACGUUAGCGGCGGACGGGUGAGUAACACGUGGAUAACCUACCUAUAAGACUGGGAUAACUUCGGGAAACCGGAGCUAAUACCGGAUAAUAUAUUGAACCGCAUGGUUCAAUAGUGAAAGACGGUUUUGCUGUCACUUAUAGAUGGAUCCGCGCCGCAGUAGCUAGUUGGUAAGGUAACGGCUUACCAAGGCAACGAUGCGUAGCCGACCUGAGAGGGUGAUCGGCCACACGGGAACGGAGACACGGUCCAGACUCCUACGGGAGGACGCAGUAGGGAAUCUUCCGCAAUGGGCGAGAGCUUGACGGAGCAACGCCGCGUGAGUGAUGAAGGUCUUCGGAUCGUAAAACUCUGUUAUUAGUGAAGAACAAAUGUGUAAGUAACUAUGCACGUCUUGACGGUACCUAAUCAGAAAGCCACGGCUAACUACGUG